GUGAGGAAUAUUGGUCAAUGGGCGGGAGCCUGAACCAGCCAAGUCGCGUGAAGGAAGAAGGAUCUAUGGUUCGUAAACUUCUUUUGCAGGGGAAUAAAGUGCAGGACGUGUCCUGUUUUGUAUGUACCCAGAGAAUAAGGAUCGGCUAACUCCGUGCCAGCAGCCGCGGUAAUACGGAGGAUCCGAGCGUUGUACGGAUUUAUUGGGUUUAAAGGGUGCGUAGGUGGUUUGAUAAGUCAGCGGUGAAAGUUUGCGGCUUAACUGUAAAAAUGCCGUUGAAACUGUCGGACUUGAGUGUAAAUGAGGUAGAGGGAAUGCGUGGUGUAGCGGUGAAAUGCAUAAAUAUCACGCAGAACUCCGAUUGCGAAGGCAGCUUACUAAGCUACAACUGACACUGAAGCACGAAAGCGUGGGGAUCAAACAGGAUUAGAAACCCUGGUAGUCC
This 445-nucleotide ribosomal RNA is filed under the name uncultured bacterium. RNAcentral describes it as "partial 16S ribosomal RNA". It matches the Rfam family "Bacterial small subunit ribosomal RNA", at positions 354 to 796 of the family's 1533-position model. The record is from RNAcentral.